CCUACGGGAGACAGCAGUGGGGAAUAUUGCACAAUGGGGGAAAGCCUGAUGCAGCGACGCCGCGUGAGUGAAGAAGUAAUUCGUUAUGUAAAGCUCUAUUAGCAGGGAAGAAAAUGAUGGUAGUUGAGUAGGAAGCCCCGGCUAAUGACGUGCCAGCAGCCGCGGUAAUACGUAGGGGGCAAGCGUUAUCCGGAUUUACUGGGUGUAAAGGGAGCGUAGACGGCAGUGCAAGUCUGAAGUGAAAGGCGGGGGCUCAACCCCCGGACUGCACUUGAAACUGUACGGCUUGAGUACAGGAGAGGUAGGUGGAAUUCCUAGUGUAGCGGUGAAAUGCGUAGAUAUUAGGAGGAACACCAGUGGCGAAGGCGGCUUGCUGGACUGUAACUGACGUUGAGGCUCGAAAGCGUGGGGAGCAAACAGGAUUAGAUACCCCGGUAGUC
Molecule: ribosomal RNA, 440 nt
Filed under: uncultured bacterium
Lineage: Bacteria
Description: partial 16S ribosomal RNA
Rfam family: Bacterial small subunit ribosomal RNA
Source: RNAcentral